RNAcentral lists this unclassified non-coding RNA (484 nucleotides) under Hevea brasiliensis (rubber tree). The record is from RNAcentral. Lineage: Eukaryota; Viridiplantae; Streptophyta; Magnoliopsida; Malpighiales; Euphorbiaceae.
CUGAAGCAGCAAAAACUGAAGCAAAAAAACUUCAACCAAUAUUCAAUUUCAAUGAGGAACAGUUCCCAAAUUUGCCAAAACAUUUCCUUUCCACGGAACUUGUAUUUAAUCUUGGUAGAAAACAAUUGGCAGAAUUGGCAGCAUCUGUUGGUCUGCAUCACAAUGAUUAGAACCAGAGUGGAGUAGGGGUGGAUGUGAUCAAUGAAGAGAUUGGAGAUGGAAUUUCUUCCUAAUUGUUGGCAAUUAUGUGAAGCUACAAAUGGUUUAGAAAUUGCAUUUGAAUGGACAAGACAACUAGAUAUGAUCAUCAUUUUCAUGGCUGUUAUAUGGUUCUUCAGAGGCAUAGAUGCCUACGAAGAUCAUAUCUGAUGCAUCAUACAAUUUUGCUGAUCACAGGGAGGAAGUUCCAUUUUCUUCUGAUAAAUGAUAAUAUCAGCCUAACGCUUCUACCUGUUUCAAGGGUAAACUCUCCACAUAACCGUUC